Molecule: ribosomal RNA, 253 nt
Filed under: uncultured bacterium
Lineage: Bacteria
Description: partial 16S ribosomal RNA
Rfam family: Bacterial small subunit ribosomal RNA
Source: RNAcentral
UACAGGGGGUGCAAACGUUGCUCGGAAUCAUUGGGCGUAAAGCGUCUGUAGGUGGCUUUUCAAGUCCGCCGUCAAAUCCCAGGGCUCAACCCUGGACAGGCGGUGGAAACUACCAAGCUGGAGUACGGUAGGGGCAGAGGGAAUUUCCGGUGGAGCGGUGAAAUGCGUAGAGAUCGGAAAGAACACCAACGGCGAAAGCGCUCUGCUGGGCCGACACUGACACUGAGAGACGAAAGCUAGGGGAGCGAAUGGG